RNAcentral lists this ribosomal RNA (253 nucleotides) under uncultured bacterium. RNAcentral describes it as "partial 16S ribosomal RNA". It matches the Rfam family "Bacterial small subunit ribosomal RNA", at positions 524 to 776 of the family's 1533-position model. The record is from RNAcentral.
UACGUAGGGACCGAGCGUUGUCCGGAAUCAUUGGGCGUAAAGAGCGUGUAGGCGGCUUGCUAAGUCUUGCGUGAAAUCUCGGGGCACAACCCCGAGCGGUCGUGGGAAACUGGCAGGCUAGAGUGCGGGAGAGGAGAAUGGAAUUCCUGGUGUAGCGGUGAAAUGCGCAGAUAUCAGGAAGAACACCCGUGGCGAAGGCGGUUCUCUGGAACGCAACUGACGCUGAGACGCGAAAGCGUGGGGAGCAAACAGG